CGCUUGGCAACCAACAGCCGACUUCGUCGACCGACCGACGAUCCAAGUUCCGGGAAAUCGCCGAGGAUCUAUUCCUCUUCUCCAUCAUCAUUACGGUUGGGGAUGAAGAAGGUCAUUCGUUAGUCUGUGUUUGAUUGUUUCAGUUUCUUUGUUUAUUUGUUGUAAGUUUGGCAAAUGAUGUUCCUUGCAUACCGUGUUCACCUGGAACCCUGGAGAAAGCGGGGUUUUGGGAAAACAGAGGGGAUUGUUUCAGAAACAGGGUGGGCUUCUAAAGGUGAUGCGAAUGAAGCUGGGGCGAAUGAGGAGAAUGCUAGGACUUAUAAUAAAAAUCUACGAAAGAGAUUGUUGAAGAAGAAGGGUACUCCUUAUAGGCCGAAGAGAACUGUGAAGGGAUAUGUUUUCGCAUUGUUUAAUGAGAAUCUGAAACCGGGUCCUACUUCUGAGAGGAAUUUCGGAUUGUUUAAGGCUGAUGGAAGUACUGCUUAUGAUAUUGGGUUUAGGGGUCUUGUACCCUCUUCGGGUUCAUCAUUUAAGAUUAAGAAUUUCAGGUUUGGCGGUUGGACAAACAUGGCGGCAUGUGCUAUGGCCACUCUGUUUCUCAAUAAUUUCGAGAAGACGAGAAGGGUUCACUGUCAAACUAGAAGAAGUAGAGGAUUGGCUGUAUGAAGAUGGGGAAGAUGAGAUUAACGGAGUAUACGUUGAUAAACUUGAUGAACUCAAGAAGCAAGGUGAUCCUAUAGAAGAGCGCCACAUGGUACAUACAGAGAGGGGUUCAGUGAUAGACCAGCUUGUGUAUUGCAUCAAUAGCUACAGAGAGGCUGCAAUGUCAACUGAUCCCAAGUUCGAUCAUAUUGAAUUAUCGGAGAAGGAAA
This is an RNA transcript of Impatiens glandulifera, 872 nucleotides long. It is a transcript of the gene named heat shock 70 kDa protein 14-like, with no coding region annotated. The transcript has 4 exons. NCBI's taxonomy places the organism in Eukaryota, Viridiplantae, Streptophyta, Magnoliopsida, Ericales, Balsaminaceae. The record is from RefSeq and is a predicted model, not a curated record.